Molecule: ribosomal RNA, 841 nt
Filed under: uncultured bacterium
Lineage: Bacteria
Description: bacterial SSU rRNA
Rfam family: Bacterial small subunit ribosomal RNA
Source: RNAcentral
GAGUUUGAUCCUGGCUCAGAACGAACGCUGGCGGCAUGCUCAACACAUGCAAGUCGAACGAGAUCUUCGGAUCUAGUGGCGCACGGGUGCGUAACGCGUGGGGAUCUACCAUAGGGUGCGGAGUAACUCAGAGAAAUUUGAGCUAAUACCGCAUAAUGUCUUCGGACCAAAGAUUUAUCGCCCUUUGAUGAACCCGCGUAAGAUUAGCUUGUUGGUGAGGUAAAGGCUCACCAAGGCGACGAUCUUUAGCUGGUCUGAGAGGAUGAUCAGCCACACUGGGACUGAGACACGGCCCAGACUCCUACGGGAGGCAGCAGUGGGGAAUAUUGGACAAUGGGCGAAAGCCUGAUCCAGCAAUGCCGCGUGAGUGAUGAAGGCCUUAGGGUUGUAAAGCUCUUUUACCAGGGAUGAUAAUGACAGUACCUGGAGAAUAAGCUCCGGCUAACUCCGUGCCAGCAGCCGCGGUAAUACGGAGGGAGCUAGCGUUGUUCGGAAUUACUGGGCGUAAAGCGCGCGUAGGCGGUUACUCAAGUCAGAGGUGAAAGCCCGGAGCUCAACUCCGGAACUGCCUUUGAAACUAGGUGACUAGAAUCUUGGAGAGGCGAGUGGAAUUCCGAGUGUAGAGGUGAAAUUCGUAGAUAUUCGGAAGAACACCAGUGGCGAAGGCGACUCGCUGGACAAGUAUUGACGCUGUGGUGCGAAAGCGCGGGGAGCAAACAGGAUUAGAUACCCUGGUAGUCCACGCCGUAAACGAUGAUAACUAGCUGCUAGGGCCCACAGGGCUUUGGUGGCGCAGCUAACGCAUUAAGUUAUCCGCCUGGGGAGUACGGUCGCAAGAUUA